GCCUGGGUGGCUCAGUAGGUUAAGCGGCUGCCUUCGGCUCAGGUCAUGAUCCCAGGGUUGUGGGAUCAAGUCCCACAUCAGGCU
This 84-nucleotide transfer RNA is filed under the name Ailuropoda melanoleuca (giant panda). It matches the Rfam family "tRNA". From Rfam's summary of the family: Transfer RNA (tRNA) molecules are approximately 80 nucleotides in length. Their secondary structure includes four short double-helical elements and three loops (D, anti-codon, and T loops). Lineage: Eukaryota; Metazoa; Chordata; Mammalia; Carnivora; Ursidae. RNAcentral also lists the same sequence under 1 other name. The record is from Rfam by way of RNAcentral.